This 750-nucleotide ribosomal RNA is filed under the name uncultured bacterium. Its description in RNAcentral is "bacterial SSU rRNA". It matches the Rfam family "Bacterial small subunit ribosomal RNA", at positions 61 to 808 of the family's 1533-position model. The record is from RNAcentral.
GUCGAACGGUAGAGGGGGCAACCCCUCGAGAGUGGCGAACGGGUGAGUAAUAUAUCGGAACGUGCCCAGUCGUGGGGGAUAACGUAGCGAAAGUUACGCUAAUACCGCAUACGAUCUACGGAUGAAAGCGGGGGACUCGCAAGAGCCUCGCGCGAUUGGAGCGGCCGAUAUCAGAUUAGGUAGUUGGUGGGGUAAAGGCUCACCAAGCCAACGAUCUGUAGCUGGUCUGAGAGGACGACCAGCCACACUGGAACUGAGACACGGUCCAGACUCCUACGGGAGGCAGCAGUGGGGAAUUUUGGACAAUGGACGCAAGUCUGAUCCAGCCAUUCCGCGUGCAGGAUGAAGGCCCUCGGGUUGUAAACUGCUUUUGUACGGAACGAAAAGGUUUCUAUUAAUACUAGGAGCUCAUGACGGUACCGUAAGAAUAAGCACCGGCUAACUACGUGCCAGCAGCCGCGGUAAUACGUAGGGUGCAAGCGUUAAUCGGAAUUACUGGGCGUAAAGCGUGCGCAGGCGGUUAUGUAAGACAGAGGUGAAAUCCCCGGGCUCAACCUGGGAACUGCCUUUGUGACUGCAUAGCUAGAGUACGGUAGAGGGGGAUGGAAUUCCGCGUGUAGCAGUGAAAUGCGUAGAUAUGCGGAGGAACACCGAUGGCGAAGGCAAUCCCCUGGACCUGUACUGACGCUCAUGCACGAAAGCGUGGGGAGCAAACAGGAUUAGAUACCCUGGUAGUCCACGCCCUAAACG